This 369-nucleotide transfer-messenger RNA is filed under the name Campylobacterales. RNAcentral's name for it is "Kmv14 sp016937535 Standard tmRNA". It matches the Rfam family "transfer-messenger RNA". From Rfam's summary of the family: Bacterial tmRNA, also known as 10Sa RNA or SsrA, is named for its dual tRNA and mRNA-like properties. Its role is to liberate the mRNA from a stalled ribosome. Lineage: Bacteria; Pseudomonadati; Campylobacterota; Epsilonproteobacteria. The record is from RNAcentral. RNAcentral also lists the same sequence under 1 other name.
GGGAGUGACUUGGCUUCGACAGGAGCAGGUUGGCUUUGGUUGCAUGCCGCCUUGGAUUUGGCGCAAAACAAUCCACUAAACUUAAACGCAAACAAUACAAAUUACGCUCCUGCUUACGCUAAAGCUGCGUAAGUAACCUUUUAGGAGGCCUCGCUCUGCGGAUGCUAUCUAGGCAGUUUCGGCGAGGUUAACCCCCAUAGAUAGCUUUGAGAUGCGACGUGACCGCGCGCAUUUUGAGCCUUAGGUCUUAGUCUGGUGAAGUUUUGGGAACUGUACGACACAAGAUGAAAUUUAACAGUUCUGCUAAGCAUGUAGACGCCGAGGUUAAGUUGUUUUUGGACUGGGGUUCGAUUCCCCACACUUCCACCA